Molecule: long non-coding RNA, 233 nt
Organism: Balaenoptera musculus (blue whale)
Lineage: Eukaryota; Metazoa; Chordata; Mammalia; Artiodactyla; Balaenopteridae
Exons: 3
Source: RefSeq, a predicted model, not a curated record
CCUCGCCGGGAGUCAGGCCCUGCGCAUGCGCACGCUCCGCCCCGGCUCCGCCCUCGCGCGCCGGGCGCCUGCCGGGGGAUUGCUGAAGCUUUGCAGAACUUGGUGAGAAAGUAAAUCUCGUCCAUAUUACUGCAUCUUGGCCAGCAGAAGUCAGCAUGAUGCAGUUGAGAUUCAGAUGAUUAUUUGGAAAGACCUGGCCAGGGCUUCCCUGGUGGCGCAGUGGUUGAGAAUCU